AUUGAACGCUGGCGGCAGGCUUAACACAUGCAAGUCGAGCGGGGGAAGGUAGCUUGCUACCGGACCUAGCGGCGGACGGGUGAGUAAUGUUCAGGAAUCUGCCUAUUAGUGGGGGACAACAUCUCGAAAGGGAUGCUAAUACCGCAUACGUCCUACGGGAGAAAGCAGGGGAUCUUCGGACCUUGCGCUAAUAGAUGAGCCUAAGUCGGAUUAGCUAGUUGGUGGGGUAAAGGCCUACCAAGGCGACGAUCUGUAGCGGGUCUGAGAGGAUGAUCCGCCACACUGGGACUGAGACACGGCCCAGACUCCUACGGGAGGCAGCAGUGGGGAAUAUUGGACAAUGGGGGGAACCCUGAUCCAGCCAUGCCGCGUGUGUGAAGAAGGCCUUAUGGUUGUAAAGCACUUUAAGCGAGGAGGAGGCUACUUUAGUUAAUACCUAGAGAUAGUGGACGUUACUCGCAGAAUAAGCACCGGCUAACUCUGUGCCAGCAGCCGCGGUAA
This 501-nucleotide ribosomal RNA is filed under the name uncultured bacterium. RNAcentral's name for it is "partial 16S ribosomal RNA". It matches the Rfam family "Bacterial small subunit ribosomal RNA", at positions 30 to 523 of the family's 1533-position model. The record is from RNAcentral.